This 173-nucleotide unclassified non-coding RNA is filed under the name uncultured Auxarthron. Its description in RNAcentral is "sequence contains ITS1". The record is from RNAcentral. Lineage: Eukaryota; Fungi; Ascomycota; Eurotiomycetes; Onygenales.
AAGCGUUGAGCCUGCGCCUCCGGGCGCCGGCGAAACCCCACCCGUGACUACUACACCACAUGUUGCUUUGGCGGGCCCGCCGCUGGCCGCCGGGGAUCUCCCUGGCCCGCGCCCGCCAAAGAUACACUGAACCCUCUGUGAAAUUGGACGUCUGAGUUGAUGAUCAAUCAUUA